GAUGAACGCUGGCGGCGUGCUUAACACAUGCAAGUCGAACGGAAAGGCCCUGCUUUUGUGGGGUGCUCGAGUGGCGAACGGGUGAGUAACACGUGAGUAACCUGCCCUUGACUUUGGGAUAACUUCAGGAAACUGGGGCUAAUACCGGAUAGGAUCUCCUGCUGCAUGGUGGGGGUUGGAAAGUUUCGGCGGUAGGGGAUGGACUCGCGGCUUAUCAGCUUGUUAGUGGGGUAGUUGCAUACCAAGGCUUAGACGGGUAGCCGGCCUGGGAGGGGGACCGGGGACCAUAGGCCUAAGAGAGGCAGCAGUAGCGAACGGGCGGCAAUGGGCGGAAGUAUGACACAGCGAGCGCGCGUGUGAGACGAAGGCGCUGGGUGCGGAAAGCCGGCUUAUGGGUUAAGAACAGCUGUCGCCUGAGACAAAGCGGUCGUGACGGUACUGAAUCAAGAAGCACCGGCUAACUACGUG
RNAcentral lists this ribosomal RNA (468 nucleotides) under uncultured bacterium. RNAcentral's name for it is "partial 16S ribosomal RNA". It matches the Rfam family "Bacterial small subunit ribosomal RNA", at positions 28 to 507 of the family's 1533-position model. The record is from RNAcentral.